Molecule: long non-coding RNA, 226 nt
Filed under: Capsicum annuum
Lineage: Eukaryota; Viridiplantae; Streptophyta; Magnoliopsida; Solanales; Solanaceae
Description: long non-coding RNA (CANN_LNC010282)
Source: RNAcentral
UGUAGCACAUAAAUUCUCAAAACAACAAUCUCAAUGUGGGUUAAUGACCCUUAUAGCGAUACUUAAUCAAAGCAUUUCAACAUUUAUGCUUUAUAUCACAAGCAUGCAUAAUUUAUACGAAAAUCUGAAAAAUUUCAGCCUUUAAUCAUAACAAUAAUCUCAAACUCAUGGAGUUUAUUUUCUAAACAUUCAAAAUAAUCAUAGUAUCUUGAACAACAACAUAGGA